UGCCAGCAGCCGCGGUAAUACGGAGGGUCCUAGCGUUGUUCGGAAUGACUGGGCGUAAAGGGUACGUAGGCGGUUUGGUCAGUUAGAUGUGAAAGCCCAGGGCUCAACCCCGGAAGUGCACUUGAAACAGCAAGACUUGAAUACGGUAGAGGAGAGAGGAAUUCCUGGUGUAGAGGUGAAAUUCGUAGAUAUCAGGAGGAACACCGAUGGCGAAGGCAUCUCUCUGGGUCGAUAUUGACGCUGAGGCGCGAAGGCGUGGGUAGCGAACAGGAUUAGAUA
RNAcentral lists this ribosomal RNA (279 nucleotides) under uncultured bacterium. Its description in RNAcentral is "partial 16S ribosomal RNA". It matches the Rfam family "Bacterial small subunit ribosomal RNA", at positions 506 to 784 of the family's 1533-position model. The record is from RNAcentral.